RNAcentral lists this ribosomal RNA (497 nucleotides) under uncultured bacterium. RNAcentral describes it as "partial 16S ribosomal RNA". It matches the Rfam family "Bacterial small subunit ribosomal RNA", at positions 28 to 507 of the family's 1533-position model. The record is from RNAcentral.
GAUGAACGCUGGCGGCGUGCCUAAUACAUGCAAGUCGAGCGAACAGACGAGGAGCUUGCUCCUCUGACGUUAGCGGCGGACGGGUGAGUAACACGUGGAUAACCUACCUAUAAGACUGGGAUAACUUCGGGAAACCGGAGCUAAUCCCGGAUAAUAUAUUGAACCGCAUGGUUCAAUAGUGAAAGACGGUUUUGCUGUCACUUAUAGAUGGAUCCGCGCCGCGUUAGCUAGUUGGUAAGGUAACAGCUUACCAAGGCAACGAUGCGUAACCGACCUGAGAGGGUGAUCGCCCACACUGGAACUGAGACACGGUCAAGACUCCUACGGGAGGCAGCAGUAGGGAAUCUUCCGCAAUGGGCGAAAGCCUGACGGAGCAACGCCGCGUGAGUGAUGAAGGUCUUCGGAUCGUAAAACUCUGUUAUUAGGGAAGAACAAAUGUGUAAGUAACUAUGCACGUCUUGACGGUACCUAAUCAGAAAGCCACGGCUAACUACGUG